UUCCCUGUGGCUCAGUUGGUAGAGCAUGGUGUGUGCAACGCCAGGGUUGUGGGUUUGAUUCCCACGGGGGACC
RNAcentral lists this transfer RNA (73 nucleotides) under Salmo salar (Atlantic salmon). It matches the Rfam family "tRNA". From Rfam's summary of the family: Transfer RNA (tRNA) molecules are approximately 80 nucleotides in length. Their secondary structure includes four short double-helical elements and three loops (D, anti-codon, and T loops). Further hydrogen bonds mediate the characteristic L-shaped molecular structure. tRNAs have two regions of fundamental functional importance: the anti-codon, which is responsible for specific mRNA codon recognition, and the 3' end, to which the tRNAs corresponding amino acid is attached (by aminoacyl-tRNA synthetases). tRNAs cope with the degeneracy of the genetic code in two manners: having more than one tRNA (with a specific anti-codon) for a particular amino acid; and 'wobble' base-pairing, i.e. permitting non-standard base-pairing at the 3rd anti-codon position. RNAcentral also lists the same sequence under 1 other name. Lineage: Eukaryota; Metazoa; Chordata; Actinopteri; Salmoniformes; Salmonidae. The record is from Rfam by way of RNAcentral.